CCUCCUUACCUUAAAGAUACGUCGUAUGUGAGUGUUCACACAGAUUGCUUGAAAAACAAGAUAAAUUGGGGCUAUAGCUCAGCUGGGAGAGCGCCUGCCUUGCACGCAGGAGGUCAGCAGUUCGAUCCUGCUUAGCUCCACCAGUUUGAUACUUGUUUUUCUUCUGUUCUUUAACAAUUUGGAAAGCUGAAAAAGAGUUCUUUAAAAAGCAAUUUGCGAUUUAAAGUUAAUUUUAAAAAUAUUAGCUAUGUAACACAGACUCAUGUGUGUUGUAUGGUUAAGUGAAUAAGCGUAUACGGUGGAUGCCUUGGCAGUCAGAGGCGAUGAAGGACGUGUUAAUCUGCGAUAAGCUGUGGUAAGUUGAUAAAAAGCGCUAUAACCACAGAUUUCCGAAUGGG
This 398-nucleotide unclassified non-coding RNA is filed under the name uncultured Gammaproteobacteria bacterium. RNAcentral's name for it is "partial 16S-23S ribosomal RNA intergenic spacer". The stretch from base 276 to 398 matches the Rfam family "Bacterial large subunit ribosomal RNA", at positions 1 to 122 of the family's 2925-position model. Lineage: Bacteria; Pseudomonadati; Pseudomonadota; Gammaproteobacteria. The record is from RNAcentral.